UCAAAAGAACUAAUAAUAAAUCAAUAGACAUUAUUAUCUAGACACAAUAUUAUUGUGAUCCAAAGGUAUCAAAGCUAAUCUAAGUCAGAGACAACACUAAAUUGAGAUUCCAACUACAUCUGAAAACAUGCUGCUAAUUCAACUGCCAAGUCAUGAUCCUUCUGCGCUAUCACCUUAUGAGUUGAAUGACCACAUGUGACAUGAGAGCUGAAAAAUUAGAAAUCAUUGUUUCAAAAUUAUGAAUAGGAUGUCAUAAUGGUAUCCAAGAGAGUAACAACAUAUAAAUGAAAUAAGACUACGAGAGAGAUCUGUUGAUCUGUUUUAAUAACCGUGCUGAUAAGUCAAGAUGCCACUUUCUGUUAGAUUACCUGAAAUUCUGAUUUUAGUAGAUAUUUGCAUCUAUUUAGAUUUGAUGUCUCAAUUUAUUAUGAUAGUUAAGAAUUGAUGAAAGACUACUAUUUCAAAUACUCUAUAUAGUGUUGUUAUGAUUGAUGAGAUAGUGCCGUUUUGUUUCUAUGAGAUUUUUUCCUUUGUUG
Molecule: long non-coding RNA, 536 nt
Filed under: Solanum tuberosum (potato)
Lineage: Eukaryota; Viridiplantae; Streptophyta; Magnoliopsida; Solanales; Solanaceae
Description: long non-coding RNA (STUB_LNC004181)
Source: RNAcentral